AUGCACGCUGGCGGCGUGCCUCAUCCCUGCAAGUCGAGCGAACGGACGAGAAGCUUGCUUCUCUGAUGUUAGCGGCGGACGGGUGAGUAACACGUGGAUAACCUACCUAUAAGACUGGGAUAACUUCGGGAAACCGGAGCUAAUACCGGAUAAUAUUUUGAACCGCAUGGUUCAAAGGUAAAAGACGGUCUUGCUGUCACUUAUAGAUGGAUCCGCGCUGCAUUAGCUAGUUGGUAAGGUAACGGCUUACCAAGGCAACGAUGCAUAGCCGACCUGAGAGGGUGAUCGGCCACACUGGAACUGAGACACGGUCCAGACUCCUACGGGAGGCAGCAGUAGGGAAUCUUCCGCAAUGGGCGAAAGCCUGACGGAGCAACGCCGCGUGAGUGAUGAAGGUCUUCGGAUCGUAAAACUCUGUUAUUAGGGAAGAACAUAUGUGUAAGUAACUGUGCACAUCUUGACGGUACCUAAUCAGAAAGCCACGGCUAACUACGUG
This 496-nucleotide ribosomal RNA is filed under the name uncultured bacterium. RNAcentral's name for it is "partial 16S ribosomal RNA". It matches the Rfam family "Bacterial small subunit ribosomal RNA", at positions 29 to 507 of the family's 1533-position model. The record is from RNAcentral.